GGCGAGGAAAUUUAAUAACAAAGUCCCCGCGGCAUUUUUGAAGGUGUAUAGGUCGCGGCCCGAGAUCUCGCCGGCGAGACAUUUCCACGAGAAUUUGAAACUGAAGGAUGAAGAAGGCCGGCGUCAUCGCUGUCUCCGUUGCUGCCGCCUCUUCGGCGGCGCUUCAUUCCAAGCUCCCGUCUGAUUCUCACGAGGGUUCAAAGAGGAAAGAAAUGGGAUCUGGAUCGAGGGAGGGAGGCGAGGUCGAGAAAUUCGCACCGAGAUUCGACGGGUUGAGAUUCAUCGAGACGCUUGUGACGGCGCACAGAUGAGACGACGGCAGUUGGUUCUUGGCGUUAAGUUGGAGUUUGAUUUUUGACAUUCAGACAUAAUUUGAUGUGGGGAUUAAAAACUUCAGCUUUUUUCUUUUUUUGUGAUUGCGAAUUGGUUUUUCUGGAAAUUGUGAAAUACGAGAGGUUUGGUAAUUGAAUAUUUUGGAUGUUUUCUCUA
Molecule: long non-coding RNA, 489 nt
Organism: Asparagus officinalis (garden asparagus)
Lineage: Eukaryota; Viridiplantae; Streptophyta; Magnoliopsida; Asparagales; Asparagaceae
Exons: 2
Source: RefSeq, a predicted model, not a curated record